This 75-nucleotide transfer RNA is filed under the name Bacillota bacterium. RNAcentral's name for it is "tRNA-Glu". It matches the Rfam family "tRNA". Rfam says of the family: Transfer RNA (tRNA) molecules are approximately 80 nucleotides in length. Lineage: Bacteria; Bacillati; Bacillota. The record is from RNAcentral.
GGCCCCAUGGUCAAGCGGUUAAGACACCUCCCUUUCACGGAGGGAACAGGGGUUCGAAUCCCCUUGGGGUCACCA